AUUGAACGCUGGCGGCAGGCCUAACACAUGCAAGUCGAGCGAGCGGCGGACGGGUGAGUAAUGUAUGGGGACUGCCCGAUCGAGGGGGAUAACUACUGGAAACGGUGGCUAAUACCGCAUACUAUCGUAUAACCCAUAUGGGAUUAGCUAGGGGGUGGGGUAAAGGCUCACCUAGGCGACGAUCUCUCGCUGGUCUGAGAGGAUGAACGGCCACACGGGGCAUGGGACACGGCCAAGACUCCUACGGAGGAAGCAGGGGGGAAUAUUGCAAAAUGGGGGAAAGCCUGAUGCAGCCAGGCCGCGGGGAUGAAGAAGGCCUUAGGGUUGUAAAGUACUUUCAGCGGGGAGGCGGUACCCGCAGAAGAAGCACCGGCUAACUACGUGCCAGCAGCCGCGGUAAUAC
Molecule: ribosomal RNA, 403 nt
Filed under: uncultured bacterium
Lineage: Bacteria
Description: partial 16S ribosomal RNA
Rfam family: Bacterial small subunit ribosomal RNA
Source: RNAcentral